Molecule: transfer RNA, 67 nt
Filed under: marine eukaryotic metagenome
Rfam family: tRNA
About the family: Transfer RNA (tRNA) molecules are approximately 80 nucleotides in length.
Source: RNAcentral
GGGAAUAGCUCAGUGGUAGAGCACCUCGUUGCCAACGAGGAUGUCGCGAGUUCGAAUCUCGUUUCCC